UGAAACAACAGGGCCUGGGAUUAUCGA
This 27-nucleotide small RNA is filed under the name Bombyx mori (domestic silkworm). RNAcentral's name for it is "ovarian small RNA-30371". The record is from RNAcentral. Lineage: Eukaryota; Metazoa; Arthropoda; Insecta; Lepidoptera; Bombycidae.